This 872-nucleotide ribosomal RNA is filed under the name Arthonia calcarea. Its description in RNAcentral is "mitochondrial SSU rRNA". It matches the Rfam family "Bacterial small subunit ribosomal RNA", at positions 1 to 1202 of the family's 1533-position model. The record is from RNAcentral. Lineage: Eukaryota; Fungi; Ascomycota; Arthoniomycetes; Arthoniales; Arthoniaceae.
UGUACUUUUUUUUGCUGCGGCAGGCUAUCUAUAAUAGAACCAAAAGUUCUUGGGAUAGUAAGAGGUUCUGGCCUCUUUUUUGAGAGCUUCGGCUUUUAGCGAUUUAUUCGCAUAAAGUUCUAUAUAGAAUGCAGAUGAUGACUAUUUUCUAUAUAUAAGUCUUGACUAAAACACGUGCCAGCAGUCGCGGUAACACGAGACAGACAAGUGUUAUUCAUCUUUAAUAGGUUUAAAGGGUACCUAGACGGCAAUUUUAACCUCCACUGGGUUGGAAAGGUACAUCUUUGCUAGAGUUUUAUGUGAGAGGAAUUUAGUACUAACAGAGUAGAGAUGAAAUUCUUUGAUACUGUAGGGCACUGAUAACGGCGAAGGCAGACCUUUAUGUAAAAACUGACGUUGAGGGACGAAGGCUUGGGUAACAAACAGGAUUAGGUACCCUAAUAGUCCAAGCAGAGACUGAUGAGUGCCAUAGAUUAGUGUAUACUUGAUUUAUAAAUGAAAGUGAAAGCAUUCCACCUUAAGAGUAAUGCGGCAACGCAGGAACUGAAAUCAUUAGACCGUUUCUGAUACCAGUAGUGAAGUAUGUUGUUCAAUUCGAUGACCCACGAAAAAUCUUACCACAAUUUGAAUAUUAUAGCAACUAUAGGAAAAUCUUUUAAUAAUAUAAUGUAAGUUAUGUUGUUUAUAUGAUAUAAGUGCUAAUAAUACAGGUGUUGCAUGGCUGUAUUCAGUUGAUGUCGUGAGAUGCGGGUUAGCUCCUGGUAAAUCAACGUGAACCCUUGCCUUAUUUUAAUAGUCAAUAACUAUUACAUAGGGUCGUUGUCUGAUACGUCGGACAAAGAGUAGGGACCAAUACAAGUCCUCAUGGCCCG